Rattus norvegicus (Norway rat) is the source of this 2325-nucleotide long non-coding RNA. Ensembl lists it as uncharacterized. Lineage: Eukaryota; Metazoa; Chordata; Mammalia; Rodentia; Muridae. The record is from Ensembl.
CACCUGCUCUAGCAUGGCUGGCCCACACACCUUGGGGAGUGGCUCAAAAACUUCUUCAGGGAGACUCUGCCCUAUCUAAACUGCUCUCUUUCAGAUCUGGCUCCCCUGAGCGCAGAUGGAAACUGUCUCUGAGGCCACGUCAACCAUGAAGAAACAGUCCCUGGAAUAUAGUAAAUCCUCGGUCAAAGAGAAGUCUUGAUUAACAUGGGCAGAAAGGAUGCCAACGGUGACUUUCAUCACUCCUGUUUGAUUCCUGUCUUCUUCACCCUUCAGAGCCAGCAAGAGUUUGCUGGCUUGGAUGUUCCUGGGUGGCGGAGUCCAUAGUCUGAGGGCAAGGAGGUCUUGGAAGCAGUUUUCCUGGGUAGAACCUAGUUUUCAGCUGAGACUCCCACCCUCAACACACAUCAAGCUGAAGAUGAGCCCUCUGCCUUUUUUCUAAUACGGAGUUGGAUGUCCCCAGACCAGUGCCGGGAAGGAGGAAGCUCCGGAUACUUGUGAAGGUGUGGGCUGUCCUUUUGCACACCCAUAGUCUCCUUUGACUUUGAAGUUCGGACUGUCACCAUUCCACUUUGGCUUCUGGAUCAAGAAAAUGGUCAAUGUGCUGCCAUGGUAAAGCUCCAGGGGACUUGGAAUCACUCCAGGAUAAUGACAUAUGCCACCCAUUGACAGCUCUGACACGGGCUUUGUUCAGUCACUUCAGACAGCUACUGUUUAAUGUCUUAUUCAGUUCUUCAACAACGCUGUGGACGAAGAAACGGUCCACAGCUGAUAGGCGGAGACACUGAGGUGCGGAGAAGCUAAGGGAUUUAUCCAGGACCUCUCAACCAGCCAUGCCGAACCUGCAGUGUGCACCUUGUUCCUUGGGACAUCAUGCUGCUGCUACAUUACUUGAAGUCGGGUCUUGAGGGAUAUGCACAGUCUGAAGUUCUCUCUUUGUGUACUAAUGAAAACACAGUGGGUACUCCAUUUCCUAGCAGGGCUAGCUCUGGGCUGCUUCAUACUUAAAAUCAUGAAAACUUGCUGAAAUUUAAAAAUCUAGAUCUUGGGCUGGGGAGAGAGCUCAUUGGUUAAAAUCACCACUGCUCAUUCAGAGGAUCCAAGUUUAAUUCCCAGUACCCACGUGGUAGCUCACAACUGUCAGUGACUCUAGUUUUAGGGGGACAACUCCUAAAACUAGGACAAAUAUGUUCUCACCCAGACAAAUAUGCAGUUAAAACACCAAUGCACACAAAAUAAACAAAAAUAAAUAAAUACAUACAUACAUACAAUCUAGAUUUUAGCUGCAUUAUAUAUGUUCCACAAGCUCCAAAACCCUGCAGAACUACAUCCUUUAGGAUGUUUGGGCACUAAAGGGACAGAACAUUAGAACUUUCUGUAGAAACUACCAGAACAAAGCACAGUGGCAGAUGAAGAACCAGAGAUGCAAGGAACAUAAAAAGCACACAAUGGGAGGCUCAUUGCUCUGCUAUCACAUCUAAGCCCCUCCCUGGCCUCCUGUUCCUGCUUUCGGAAUAACUUUCUUGUGGAUCCCACGUUGCCCGUGGAAGGUACCUCACCUCUGCUUUCCUAUGUGCUCGGUGCCCUGAGGGUUGGGGGAUGUGACAUGGCUAUCACUAUCUACACAGUCAGUCACUUGGCACUGUAGGCUGUAGGGAUCUUUAAACAGAGACAUGCUUCAGGGUGUAGAUUAUGAACUGCAUAUGGCAGAUGCGGACACUUGGGCAGCUUAUGAGGAUCUGGACCCUGGGUAGGAUCACCUCUAAAGGGAUGCUUACCCUCAGAGAGCCUGGAAAUGUCUGUUUAAAGGACCUGGUCAAAUACUCUAGAACCACAGCUAGGUCACUACCUUGCUGUAAAUGACUUGUGUGUCAUUGUACUGGACAAAUGCUCCCAGUCUUAUUAGGGUUUUACUGAUGUGAACAGAUACCAUGACCAAGGCAACUCGUAUAAGGACAGCAUUUAAUUGGGGCUGGCUUACAGGUUCAGAAGUUCAGUCCCUUAUCAUCAAGGUGGGAGCAUGGCAGCAACCAGGCAGGCAUGGUGCAGGCAGAGCUGAGAGUUCUACAUCUCCAUCUGAAGGCUGCUAGCAGAAUGCUGACUUCCAGGAAGCUAGGACUAGGGUAUUAAAGCCCACACCCACAGUGACACACCUACUCCAACAGGGCCACACCUCCAGGUAGUGCCACUCCCUGGGCCCUCCAUCACACUCCCCAAGGGCAGACUUCGUGUAUACCUCCUGAUUAUUGCUGAAUCCUGGAGGCCACCUCCUAUUGAUAACAAAUUCUAGAAACAUCAAAUAAAUAUAAUAAAUAUUGGUUAAAACAA